RNAcentral lists this unclassified non-coding RNA (632 nucleotides) under Hevea brasiliensis (rubber tree). The record is from RNAcentral. Lineage: Eukaryota; Viridiplantae; Streptophyta; Magnoliopsida; Malpighiales; Euphorbiaceae.
AUGUGGGAGUGGCAUGUGGGAGUUCGUCCAUCUGAUGCCCAUGCAACAUAGAAUAAUCAGUAAGAGAUUAGAAGAGAUUUAUUGAGAUCAGUUUAAAGUGCAAAAACGAAAUUAUUUCAGAAGGUUCUAGAAAAUAAAAGGAAAUGAGACUUGAUGUUGCUGGAGCAUCCCAAUAUUUGAGUUAGUACAUAUUUAGGUACUAAUAUGUCAAGUCUGCGUCUUCACCCAGGCGAUUGAAGCUUUAGCAUCGUAUUGACAGUUUAUCAAAUCUUUUCAUUAGCAAUGUAUUUCUCCCACAACAGACACUCUUGAGUAAUUCGGACUGUAAAUUCAACUGCCUGGUAUAUGUGUAAAAAUGCAUGGUAUCUAUUGAACAGACGUAAAGCAAUGCCAUCUUAUCUGUUCGUCUUAAAUUAAACAGAAAGAUCAAUAUAAUCACGUAUGAUACAAACAAUUUCAGGAGGGAAAAAAACUAACCAAGGCUUACCAUUUUGGAAUUUGUUUUAGAGUGAAAUGUAAUUUAAUGCUUACAAGCUAAUUGCUAGGUAAAGUUCUCAAAAAUUGGUAUGGAAAAUAUAUUUACCAAGGAAAGAUUGAUUAAUAUGAAUUGCUUACUUGAGAAUAUCUGUUCG